Alosa alosa (allis shad) is the source of this 734-nucleotide long non-coding RNA. RefSeq lists it as uncharacterized. Lineage: Eukaryota; Metazoa; Chordata; Actinopteri; Clupeiformes; Clupeidae. The transcript is spliced from 3 exons. The record is from RefSeq and is a predicted model, not a curated record.
GUUGUUUAUUUUUUUUACCAUUUUGUUUACUUUGGAUCAACUCUGUUGUGCAUUAAGUGACCUGACUUGACCAAACCUACCCAUGCUCUUCAGUCAAUGACGUCGCUCAGUCUCGCGCUUGACAGCUUGAAUCGGAAUCCCUCGUCUACGACUAGAACUACUCCAGCCUCAUUCUUGUUGUACUGCUAGAACCUGAGCUGACUGAGUGUCUCGUUGCCUCUGUCAAGUUUGGAGCCCCAAAAACUUCGCCCUGAACUUAACGGGACUUUUCACAUUACCACACACAAAGCAAUUGUCUUUUUAAAGACUUCCACCAUCUCCACCUUCCCUUGUGCUGCGCUAGUCUUUGCCACAGAAAUACUCCCAAGACUCCCAUCUCCCAUCCCUUGCUGUGCUACAGACUUUUCAGGCUUGUUCCAGACCAGCCCUGUCAGAGUGGUAUCUGCGUGUCACUUGUGACACUGCCUGUCAUCGUCUGCACACCCUGCACUACACUGCACUGCAAUCAUAUACAACAGAACCCACUAACGCCUACCUGCAAACAUAUCUACUACAAGAACCAAACACUUGCUGAGAACAUAUCUGACUGCACAUGCUAUACUCUGAACCCUUUUGAUUGAAACCGCCUUUGAGAUUGAAACCGCCUUUGAAACUGAAUCCUUUUCUGAAUACUACUCUGCAUCAUAUUGAGACUGAAUAUCACUCUAAACCAGCAAACCCACUCUAAACAUACC